UAAUCAUUAGUUUUUUAAUUGAAAGCUGGUAUGAAGGAUUGGACGAGAUACAUUCUGUCUCAGAAUUAAAGGUUGAAGUUUAUUUUUAAGUUAAAAAGCUUAACUAACUUUAAAAGACGAGAAGACCCUAUAGAGUUUAAUAUUUUAUUAUUAUAAAUUAUUGUUGGAGUAUAAAAUUUUUAUAGUUUAGAAAUAUUUAAUUGGGGUGAUAGAAAAAUUUAAUAAACUUUUUCUUUUAAAAAUAUAAAUUUAUAGGUUAUUGACUUAAAUUAUUAGUUAUAAGAUUAAAUUACCUUAGGGAUAACAGCGUUAUUUUUCUAGAGAGUUCAUAUCGAAAGAAGAGAUUGCGACCUCGAUGUUGGAUUAAAGUUAAAAUUUGGUGUAGAAGCUAAGUGAUUUAGUCUGUUCGACUAUUAAAACUUUACAUGAUCUGAGUUUAGACCGGCGUGAGCCAGGUUAGUUUCUAUCUUUAAUAUAAAAAGGUAUUUUAGUACGAAAGGACCAAAUAUCAGUUAGAUUAAUUAAUUUUUGAUUAAUAUU
This 540-nucleotide ribosomal RNA is filed under the name Agrilus bilineatus. RNAcentral's name for it is "partial 16S ribosomal RNA". The stretch from base 300 to 458 matches the Rfam family "Bacterial large subunit ribosomal RNA", at positions 2473 to 2632 of the family's 2925-position model. The record is from RNAcentral. Lineage: Eukaryota; Metazoa; Arthropoda; Insecta; Coleoptera; Buprestidae.